This 1486-nucleotide ribosomal RNA is filed under the name uncultured Bordetella sp. RNAcentral describes it as "partial 16S-23S ribosomal RNA intergenic spacer". It matches the Rfam family "Bacterial small subunit ribosomal RNA". Lineage: Bacteria; Pseudomonadati; Pseudomonadota; Betaproteobacteria; Burkholderiales; Alcaligenaceae. The record is from RNAcentral.
UUCGAUUCUGGCUCAGAUUGAACGCUGGCGGGAUGCUUUACACAUGCAGUCUCGAACGGCAGCACGGACUUCGGUCUGGUGGCGAGUGGCGAACGGGUGAGUAAUGUAUCGGAACGUGCCUAGUAGCGGGGGAUAACUACGCGAAAGCGUAGCUAAUACCACAUACGCCCUUCGAGGAAAGCGGGGACCUUCCGGGGCCUCGCACUAUUAGAGCGGCCGAUAUCAGUUAGCUAGUUGGUGGGGUAACGGCUCGCAAGGCGACGAUCCGUAGCUGGUUUGAGGAGGACGACCAGCCACACUGGGACUGAGACACGGCCCGACUCCUACGGGAGGCAGCAGUGGGGAAUUUUGGACAAUGGGAAACCCUGGUCCCAGCCAUCCGCGUUAUGCGAUGAAGGCCUUCGGGUUGUAAAGCACUUUUUGGCAGGAAAAAACGGCACGGGAUAAUACCCCGUGCAACUGACCCAGUACCUGCAGAAUAAGCACCGGCUAACUACGUGCCAGCGUAACCGCGGUAAUACGUAAGUGCGAAGCGUUAAUCGGAAUUACUGGGCGUAAAGCGUGCGCAGGCGGUUCGGAAAGAAAGAUGUGAAAUCCCAGAGCUUAACUUUGGACUGCAUUUUUUAUUACCGAGCUAGAGUGUGUCAGAGGGAGGUGGAAUUCCGCGUGUAGCGGUGAAAUGCGUAGAUAUGCGGAGGAACACCGAUGGCGAAGGCAGCCUCCUGGGAUAACACUGACGCUCAUGCACGAAAGCGUGGGGGCAAACAGGAUUAGAUACCCUGGUAGUCCACGCCCCAAACGAUGUCAACUAGCUGUUGGGGCCUUCGGGCCUUGGUAGCGCAGCUAACAUACGUGAAGUUGACCGCCUGGGGAAGCCGGUCGCAGAUUAAAACUCGAGAAUUGACGGGGACCCGCACAAGCGGUGGAUGAUGUGGAUUAAUUCGAUGCAACGCGAAAAAACCUUACCUACCCUUGACGCUGUCUGGAAUCCCGAAGAGAUUUGGGAGUGCUCGCAAGAGAACCGGAACACAGGUGCUGCAUGGCUGUCGUCAGCUCGUGUCGUGAGAUGUUGGGUUAAGUCCCGCAACGAGCGCAACCCCUUGUCAUUAGUUGCUGCGAAAGGGCACUCUAAUGGGACUGCCGGUGACAAACCGGAGGAAGGUGGAAUAGCGUCAGUCCUCAUGGCCCUUAUGGGUAGGGCUUCACACGUCAUACAAUGGUCGGGACAGAGGGUCGCCAGCCCGCGAGGGAGCCAGUCCCAGAAACCCGAUCGUAGUCCGGAUCGCAGUCUGCAACUCGACUGCGUGAAGUCAGAAUCGCUAGUAAUCGCGGAUCGGCAUGUCGCAGUGAAUACGUUCCCGGGUCUUGUACACACCGCCCGUCACCAUGGGAGUGGGUUUUACCAAGAAGUAGUUAGCCUAACCGUAAGGAGGGCGAUUACCACGGUAGGAUUCAUGACUGGGGGUAAAGUCGUAACAAAAGGUAA